GCCCAGACUCCUACGGGAGGCAGCAGUGGGGAAUAUUGCACAAUGGGGGAAACCCUGAUGCAGCGACGCCGCGUGAGCGAUGAAGUAUUUCGGUAUGUAAAGCUCUAUCAGCAGGGAAGAAAAUGACGGUACCUGACUAAGAAGCCCCGGCUAACUACGUGCCAGCAGCCGCGGUAAUACGUAGGGGGCAAGCGUUAUCCGGAUUUACUGGGUGUAAAGGGAGCGUAGACGGCAAUGCAAGCCAGAUGUGAAAGCCCGGGGCUCAACCCCGGGACUGCAUUUGGAACUGUGUAGCUGGAGUGUCGGAGAGGCAGGCGGAAUUCCUAGUGUAGCGGUGAAAUGCGUAGAUAUUAGGAGGAACACCAGUGGCGAAGGCGGCCUGCUGGACGACAACUGACGGUGAGGCGCGAAAGCGUGGGGAGCAAACAGGAUUAGAUACCCUAGUAC
RNAcentral lists this ribosomal RNA (447 nucleotides) under uncultured bacterium. RNAcentral's name for it is "partial 16S ribosomal RNA". It matches the Rfam family "Bacterial small subunit ribosomal RNA", at positions 329 to 793 of the family's 1533-position model. The record is from RNAcentral.